Neofelis nebulosa (Clouded leopard) is the source of this 4472-nucleotide RNA transcript. It is a transcript of the gene named immunoglobulin superfamily member 5, with no coding region annotated. NCBI's taxonomy places the organism in Eukaryota, Metazoa, Chordata, Mammalia, Carnivora, Felidae. The record is from RefSeq and is a predicted model, not a curated record. The transcript has 14 exons.
GCUCUGUGGGACUGAGAGAGACAGAGAGGGAGAGAGAGAGAGAGAGGCCCAGAAGAGGAGCCAGGGCAGAGGGCCGAGGGGAAGCAGUGGUGGCCCCGGAGGCCGUGACCUUCUCAGGCCCACUGGGCGGCCUGGCUUGCUGUUUGGGGCUGGCUAAUGAUUAGCAGGGAAAAUGUCACUCUGGGGCAUGCACACCUUCCGGGAGCUAGGGGCCAGUGGCAGGCAGGGGCCACCUCUGUGUUUACAGCCCGGCCUGUGACGUGACAGGGCCAUUUCAAGAGGAACUUCCUGCUAACCGGCGACCCGGGUGGAGAUUCUCGGCGGCCACACAGGUUUGUUCCUGCGUUUGCGUGGAGGGAGGACGGAGACCCAGAUGCCUCUGGGAUCAGAGAACCUUCUGUGACGCCAGAAGAGGAGAACUUCCUGCCCGAGGGUGAAGAAGACGCGUGGUGAUGGAGGGCAGGUGGAAAGGCAUCUCGACCGUGCUGGUCAUCCUGGCUGGGCUGGCAGCUUCUGGAUCUAGCUAUCAAAUCAUAGAAGGUCCCAAGAAUGCAACGGUGCUGGAGGGCUCGGAGGCUCGCUUCAACUGCACGGUCUCACAGGGCUGGAAGCUCAUCAUGUGGGCUCUGAAUGGCACGGUGGUUCUGAGCAUCACGCCCUCAGAGCCCAUCAUCACCAACGACCGCUUUACCUCUGCGAGCUACCAAGAGGGCGGCAACUCCAUCUCUGAGAUGAUAAUCCAUGAUGUGCAGCUCCGUGACGCGGGGCACAUCAAGUGCAGCCUCCAGAACAGUGACCGCGAUGCAUCCGCUUUCCUUUCAGUGCAAGUUAUGGGGGCGUUGCUCAUUCCCGGAGGCAACCUUGUAGUCGCGGAGAAUGAACCUUGUAAUGUGACUUGCCACGCAUGGGGCUGGAUCCCGCCCCCAGGUAUUUCCUGGGAUAUCGGCGUUCCCGUGAGCCACUCGAGCUAUCAUUCCGUUCCGGAGCCCAACAAUCCCCAAAGUGCAGUGAGCGUCCUGACUCUCACACCACAGGGCAACGGGACUUUGACUUGUGUGGCCACCAUGAAAGGGCUGCAUGCCCACAAGUCUGUAACGGUGAAUCUUACUGUGGUUCAGCCUCCUUUGGGCAGUAUUGAUAAAGCAGGUACAUCCUUGCCUACCUGGGCCAUAAUUCUGCUUGCAGUAUCAUUUUCGUUGCUCUUGAUCCUGAUCAUUGUUCUGAUUAUAAUAAUCUGCUGCUGUUGUGUCUCCGGGAGAGAGAAAAAAGAAUCUAGUUAUCAAAGUGAAAUAAGGAAAUCUGCAAGUGUGAAGACAAACAAAGAAACUUUUGAGACAAACUUAGAAAGUGGCAGUGAAAACCUGGGCUACCAUUCAGAUGAGCCGCGGACGGCAAAACUUGCUUCUUUUGCUCCAGUGUCCUCUGAAUCCAGUGUUCAGGAACAACACAGCAGUAGGCAACCUUAUCAGUGUGUUUCUGUCGUCCAUCAUCAUCCUUGAGUGGGUACAAGUCAAGGGGAAAGACAAGAGUUUCAGAAGACCUUUUGGACAGAGCUGUUCAAAUCUCUAGGCUGUCAAGGUCCGUGGACUCAUGCACCUUAGUGGCCAAUUUCCACUCAUUGGCUCACCUGGUGUCACAAGUCAAGGGGGCAUGGCACCCACCUGCUUCAGAAAGACCUACCAGUAAGGUACCAGAUUUUCCAUGAACGCAACUGCCAUGGAAAUUGAGGGCAGAUGGCAGUGGAUUCUAUGGGAAGCUUCAUGGAGGGUAGUUUGCCAUUUUGGAAAAUGGCGUCGGCAACAGCACCACCGUUUGGAGUAUCUGAGUUGCUGUCAUGAGACACAUGAGUCGCUGGAGAGUUACAGCUGCUGCAUUCCUGAGAGGCCUUCCUUGCCUGAUUGGGAAACUGAGGCUCAGAGAGGUCCAGUAACUUGCGUGAGGCCGCUGUGCUGUGAUGUCUUGCCCCAGUGACUUCACCGCUCUGCAGGACAGGAAAAACUGAGGUGUUGGCCAUGAGGCAAACAUCCAGAUGUUGCUGUUGUCGAGCCAACACUUUCGACUUCUUGGUGACACAGCCCCCCUCCCUGCAAUCAAUCCUUCUCUUUGGCUGACACCAGUUGGAAGUGGCUGCUGGUUUUGGAACUAAGAUAAGCCUAAGCAAGAGAACUGUACCUGCUCUACCUUUGUGCACACAUGAUAGAAUGUGGAAGAUGAACCAUUCUUCAGACUCUCUCGUCAGAAAAUAAAGUUAUCUUUCAUGCAAAUGAGAAGACACUCAUCAAUUUGACUCCACGGGAGGUUAAUAUUUUUAGAGUAGAAAAACUUAGCUUCCAUUGUUCAAGGUGAAUUUUCCAUAAUGAAAAAGGCAAAUUACCUGUGAAACUGGCAGCUGUUAUUAACUAAACAAUUUCCAAAGGAAAAUUUCCUGGUUUCCGUACUUAAAAACAUUUUUACCCGUUUGAAAUCCUUCUUUGAAAUUGGUCUUGUUGUUCAUCUGGAAAUGUAUCCAAUAUUCACCUAUUUAUUGUGUAGCUAAUUUUCAUAAAAUGGAAAUACUUUAUUAUAAUUGGACUUCAUCUUGAAGUAAGAACAUGGGUGCUUUCUACAUCAAAUAACCAUUGCGUCCGAAUCCUUUUCAUCCCGUGGAUGUUUUGUGGGCAAUGAGUGGCUAUUUUCCUUGUGCUUGGAUCGGCACUGCUUAAGUAUUCCAGCUUAAUUAUCUUGAAGGCUUUAUCUUCAUCAAAGUCACCAAGCUACUUGGAAAUAAUAGCUCCAACAUUGAUUAACAGAAUUAUGUGUGAAUAAAUCCCAUCCUCAGAUGCUGAAAGGAGCCAUGACAACAGUAGACAUUUAUACCACUCUUAUUUUUAUAAUUACAAGUAUUAGAUCCCAUCAUUGUGGAAAAAGAAUACACUUCUUUUUUUUUUUUAAAUGAAAUGUGCCUAUUAUACAAUGGGAAUCAGAUUCUCAGCUCAUCAGGCACUUGGGGAAAUUCUUGGAGAUCUGAGAAUUUCUUGGAAUUUUUUUGCCAGCAUCAACUGUCCAGGUGACUUAUCAGCGUUCUAGGUAACUUCUGGUGUUUUGGACUGUAACCCAGCUCCUGCAGAGCCCGUGGCUGUACCCCAGGCCUCCAUCUGGAUGAUUCGUGUCUGAACCCCAUUCACUCAUUUAUCUUUGCUCACACCUCAGGGGGCGAGAGGAUGGCCUGUUGAAUAGAGUUGGGAUUUCCCAUGGUCCAGAGCUUCAGGAUGGCAGAGUGUGUGUGUGUAAGAGAGACACAGAGAGGCAGACUGUGAUGGUGGAUCUGUCCAUCCAGAAGCCCUGACACACACACAUCUGUGCAGAUGCCCUCUCAGCUCUAGGCACUGUAGCUGCUGUUGUAGUAAUCCUCACACUUUCAUUUCUGAGUUGUGGGAUGUGGGCAGGGAGGCCAGCAGAAUAAUGACUUCCACAAAUAUGUCUGCAUCUUAAUUCAUGGGACAUGUGAAUAUAUUACCUUGCAGGGCAAAAGGGACUUUGCAGGUGUGAUUAAGUUAAUGGUUUUGAGGUGGGAAGAUUCUCCUGGAUUAUCCACAUGGGUCCACUGUGGUCAUAAGCGUCCUCCAGGAUCUCACUAAGACAAUUCAGGGAGAAGAUGGUGAGGCUCUGGAGAUGAUGGUGAAGUUCAUGGAGAAGACAGUGUGACUCAUGGAGAAGACAAUGUGGCUUCAUGGAGAGGAUGGUGAGGCUCAAAGAGAUAAUGAUACAGCUUGACAAAGAUGCUCUCUUGACCAAACUCUAGUCAGGCCCUCUGAGCCCUCUUUUUGACUAGGCUUCAACCUUGGCUUAUAAAAUCUGCAGACUCUCAGCACAGAUGAUUUCACCUCCCACCCCACACUAAGAGACUUAAGCAAACACUAGCAUAGUUUCUAACAGCUCAAGGCUGUGUCUCUAGGAUGAUGACUGCCCUCCCUUAAGUCCUGUCUGGGGGAGCUCAAUGCUUCCAAAACCUGGGGGUAGGGAGAUAGCCCUCUGAAUCUCCUCACAGAGCUGCUACUUUAGAAAGCUUGCCAUUAUAAAUUCUUUCUCUGCCCCUUCGAAUAUAAAUCUACCACAUAGAGCUAUAUUCUCAAGGGCCCCAAAGCUGUCCUGGAGUAACAUUCAAGGAGAUAACUCAUUGCUUGCUCCUUGCUCUCAGUCCCUGCGGGAGGGUGAGGGCCUAAUGUCAGUGGAUGCCAUGCUCUAACCUGUACCACUGCCCUCUCUCCUAAAGACAUGUGAAGUUUGUUUCUCUGUGAAUAAGCACCAAUGAACAAAUCCAAGUGGCCUAAUCACAUGGACCAACGCCACUUAAUACCCCUUAGUGCCUUUCUAUUAGCACAUCCAGGCCUUUACAAAGUCCCUUGAUUUUUGUCCAGGAAGUUGAGUUCAGUUCAUGCUGGACCCUCUUCUCUAUUGGAAUAAUUAUGACUGAAUGAAAUUUGUCUUUACCA